AGUAUUUUUCUUGGAUCCUACAUAUUUCAGAGAGUUUAUACAAAAAUUCUCAUUAUUUUUGGAUCAUCACACAAUUUAUUACGCAAAUUCAAAUAUAAAACAAAAACUGCAUAAAAGAAAAAAAGAAAAGACACUGCAGCGGGUGGCCGGAUUUCGGCCCGCAGGCCGGCCCGCUUCGGCUCGGCCCGCGCGGUCGCUGCGCACGCCGCCUUCUCUCCGC
RNAcentral lists this long non-coding RNA (220 nucleotides) under Sorghum bicolor (sorghum). RNAcentral describes it as "long non-coding RNA (SBIC_LNC013034)". Lineage: Eukaryota; Viridiplantae; Streptophyta; Magnoliopsida; Poales; Poaceae. The record is from RNAcentral.